GAUUCACGGCCAAACCAACACACUGCCGGCUUUGAAGCUACGGGCCUAAAGGCUAUGGUUGGUCCAAAUUGGUCUUUUAGGCCCAGGGUGGCAAAAUUUUGAGCUGGAUCUGCCAAGCUGUGUCGUGUGUCUUCUGGGAUGAAGAUUUUCUAUCAUUAAAUCUGUGCUAGAGGGUCCAUGACUACCUGGAAUACAAUUGUGCCUCGCCAUCUCCCUGC
RNAcentral lists this long non-coding RNA (218 nucleotides) under Elaeis guineensis (African oil palm). RNAcentral's name for it is "long non-coding RNA (EGUI_LNC024845)". The record is from RNAcentral. Lineage: Eukaryota; Viridiplantae; Streptophyta; Magnoliopsida; Arecales; Arecaceae.